This 450-nucleotide ribosomal RNA is filed under the name uncultured bacterium. RNAcentral's name for it is "partial 16S ribosomal RNA". It matches the Rfam family "Bacterial small subunit ribosomal RNA", at positions 354 to 796 of the family's 1533-position model. The record is from RNAcentral.
GUGGGGAAUAUUGGACAAUGGGCGAAAGCCUGAUCCAGCCAUGCCGCGUGUGUGAAGAAGGUCUUCGGAUUGUAAAGCACUUUAAGUUGGGAGGAAGGGCAGUAACCUAAUACGUUGCUACUUUGACGUUACCGACAGAAUAAGCACCGGCUAACUUCGUGCCAGCAGCCGCGGUAAUACGAAGGGUGCAAGCGUUAAUCGGAAUUACUGGGCGUAAAGCGCGCGUAGGUGGUUCAGUAAGUUGGAAGUGAAAUCCCCGGGCUCAACCUGGGAACUGCUUUCAAAACUGCUGAGCUAGAGUACGGUAGAGGGUGGUGGAAUUUCCUGUGUAGCGGUGAAAUGCGUAGAUAUAGGAAGGAACACCAGUGGCGAAGGCGACCACCUGGACUGAUACUGACACUGAGGUGCGAAAGCGUGGGGAGCAAACAGGAUUAGAAACCCCGGUAGUCC